GGGCGAAAGCCUGACCGAGCACGCCGCGUGAGUGAUGACGGCCUUACGGUUGUAAAACUCUGUGAUCCGGGACAAAAAGGCCGAGUGCGAAGAACAAACUGCAUUACGGUACCGGAAAGCAAGCCACGGCUAACUACGUGCCAGCAGCCGCGGUAAUACGUACGUGGCUAGCGUGUUCGGAAUGAUUGGGCGUAAACCGCGCCAGGCGGCUUCCCAAUUCCCUCUUAAAAGUGCGGGGCUUAACCACCUGAUGGGAGGAGACUGGGGACUGGAGUAUCGGAUAGGAAAGUGGAAUUCCUAUUGUAGCGGUGUAAUGCGUAAGAUUAGGAACAACACCGGUUGGCGAAGGCGGAAUUUCUGGGACCAAAACCGACGCCGAGGCCCCAAAGCCUUGGGAACCAACAUGAAUAAAUACCCCUGGUACUCACGCCGUAGACGAUGGAUACUAGGGUGU
Molecule: ribosomal RNA, 454 nt
Filed under: Dialister sp. oral taxon H54
Lineage: Bacteria; Bacillati; Bacillota; Negativicutes; Veillonellales; Veillonellaceae
Description: bacterial SSU rRNA
Rfam family: Bacterial small subunit ribosomal RNA
Source: RNAcentral